AUGGGGGACCGCAGCCCAACGGGGAUCCCUGCGAGGCAGCCAAUGACCUCGCGCCGCUCUCCACCCCCCGCCCUCGCCAACCCCGCGCAGCUGGACCAUUGGUGCUGGUGGGCUGGGGGGGGGCGUGUGCGCGGCGGCGCCGGCCCUUGGAGGAAGGGGGCGUGGCUUGGAGUCCCGGGCCCUCUCCUGGACUCGGGCUUAGGCCCCUGCACACUCCCCACCCCGGGUCGCCAGGCCAACUGGCCCGGCUGCGGCGCCGUGGCGGCGGUGGACGGCGAGGCGCGCGCAGUGGGCGUGGCCCGAGGGCGUGGCCCGGCGGGAGGCGGGGCCGCGGGCGCUGCCUCCGUGAAAGCCCGAGCUGCGGCGGCGGGGGCGUCCGGACGGUGUGUGCGCGCGUGUUGGGGCGCAGGCUCGGCAGCGGCGGCGGCUCAGUCUGCGGCGGCGGCAGCGGCCCGUCUGGAGCGGCCGCGGCGAGGAAGCCAGCUGCAGCGGGGGAGGCGCAGCCGGGACUACGCGCUCAGCGGAGCCGGCGGGCACCGAGAACAGGUGAUCCCAGCGGGAACCCGGAGCCCUACGGAGAGUUGGAGGGGCGGGAGCCCGCACUACCCCCCCACCCACCCCAUCCCCAGCGCAGCUGCAGCCGCCCCCGCCGCUGCUGGUCGCGAACGGCACUACGCCCCGGACCCGGCUCAGGCAUCCCUCCGCUCCCGGGAGCCCCCCCAGGCCCCUGCCUCGCCUGGCUCAGAAGUGCCUGACCACCACCACCCCCAGCUCCCCGGCGCCCGCCCCGCGGCGGAGCAAAGUUGUGGACGUGUCCCGAUAGCCAAAGCCCCCAGCGCUGUCGCGACCCGGCCGCUCCAGCGCUCUCUCGGAGCGCCACUGACAGCCCGGCCGCGUCGCCCCCCCGCCCCCGGGAGUCGACCCCUUCGGGAAACUGCUUCUGAGGCUCAAACUUUGGGCCGGGGUGGUUGGGGGUUGCUGAGGGCGGCUCAGCUCGGGGACGAGGCCUGCGGGCGCCCCUCCUCGUGGACAAGCCUGGGCGCCUCGGACGGCAUGUGA
Molecule: long non-coding RNA, 1059 nt
Filed under: Bos indicus x Bos taurus (hybrid cattle)
Lineage: Eukaryota; Metazoa; Chordata; Mammalia; Artiodactyla; Bovidae
Description: lncRNA (ENSBIXG00005029709.1)
Source: RNAcentral